Long non-coding RNA from Macrobrachium nipponense, 2071 nucleotides. RefSeq lists it as uncharacterized. Lineage: Eukaryota; Metazoa; Arthropoda; Malacostraca; Decapoda; Palaemonidae. The transcript is spliced from 3 exons. The record is from RefSeq and is a predicted model, not a curated record.
CUUGAACUAAGGAAGUGAGACCAAUCCAUUCGCCUGCUGUCUUCCCCCCGUGCAGCCACGAGCACCAGAUGAUCCUUACAGUUGAGAAGAAGCGUCUGGACAUUACUCCUCUUCUCCACUAAGGUCCUUCCGAGGUGCUCAUCCAACAUAAUGAGGAUCCUUCAUAUAAGCCUCGUGGCUCUGCUUUCCCUGGUCCUACUGGGAGAAGAAGUUGCUGGAGGUGCAUUCGAAGGUAAAUAUGCUGAUUUCUCGAUAUACUCCUCCCACCCCUGCAUACGCCCUUGUCAGGAUAGGAUCGGUGAUGAUUGCGUGGCAGAUACAAAAUGUUGUGAGGAGAACUUUCAAAACUGGUUGUACUAUGAUUGCUUGAGAAACUGGGAACAGGAUCUGGAUAAGUUGAUCCACCGGGGCCAUGAGUCACCAAAGAUUAUAGAAGGCGAUUUUAUCAUCCAGUAUUGGAGAUGAAAUCCAAGUCCUUUUCAUCUUGUGUCUUAUUGUUUCGAUCCAUUCAACAAAACAGGAACAAACAACUUCUCGACUUCCUUUCAGUAUCAGUUUAUUAGUUUCAAAAAUCUUCUUUUCAUGCUUCGGCACACAUUCUUUUUCCUUUCAUUUGUUACCAUAAUUUUAUUUAUAUCUUUCAUUCUAAAAUACACAGAAAUUCUAGAAAAAAAAAAACUAUAUCUUUAAGGACAUCAACUUCAGACCUUUCUAAUUCUUAAAUUAGCGACUUGAUGCAAUGUCUCUCAUAAUAGAUAAUCCCCCCGUAGUGGAGUAGUGCUUACAGUGCACCUCACGGGGUGCACUGUAGGCAUUACUAAAGGCUGUGUGCAGUGUCCCUUCGGCCACCAGCUGCAACCCCUUGCUUUCCUUUUACUGUCCCUCCUUUCAUAUUUUUUUCUUCCAUCUUGCAAUCCACCCUCUCCUAACAAUUAUUUUAUAGUGCAACUGCUUCGAGGUUUUCCUCCUGUUGUACCUUUCAAACCUACCUACUCUCAAUUUCCUUUCCAGCGCUGAAAGAACCUCGUAGGUCCCAGUGCUUGGCCUUUGGCAUAAAUCCUAUAUUGCAUUACAUUGCAUUGCAAUAGAUAAUUAAUCUGAGACUUUAAAAAACUCGGAAGAUGCUGCGUGUAGACCGCCUCUGAUGAUUGUGCUCAGCUCAGCCGAGAUUUUUCCGAUUCAUUUUACUCUGAUGCCUGAACCCAAAAAUUAGAACAUUUCAUCGAAAAUCUGACGAUUCCGCCAUCAAUAUAACGAAGAGACUCUUCUUCUGUUACGUCAGAAAUUGACUCCUUCAAGUUUUCCUUCCUUUCUCUUUCUCAGUCAGAUUCUUCUCUUCCCUAAAAUAUGACUUCAUUUUCAAGAUACCGAUAUAUCUGAUGAAAUACAGGUUAAUGUCAAAAAAACCCUCUCUGCAUCCACAUGUAGACUUAAAGAAAAAUGUCAAAUUUUCGGACGAACAGAGGCACAAUGAAUCCAGGUAAAAAAAGUCACAGGAAAAAAAGGUGACGCCAGACCAAAAGUCUGAAAGGUACUUGUUUACCCUUAUGGUUAACAACGCUUGAAUAUUACGGUUAUUGGUAAAUAUUAACGUGGGGUCAAUGUGGGGAAGGCUAUAUUCACAAGGGUGACGCCACCUAUGCUGGCCAGUCAAACAGAUCUGGUCCGGACAAUAUCUUGCGAACAUUAUGGCAUUUCUCCUCGAACUGGUUGCUUACUGGCCAAGGCCAACCACAUCACCGGUUUUACAGCAUAUAGAGGAAUGUAACACAGGUAGUAGACCUUUAGAAAAUCUUAAAGUUCUUGGUAUAUACUUUUUAUAAAGAAUCGAGAAUCUGAGUCGAUCGAAUUUUUUUUUUUUUCAGAAAAAUAGAUCAUAACCUUGACAAUUCAUCUUAUAAUGUCAACUGUUCUAUUUCUGGUUUACCCACUAUCUCUAUUAUCGUCACCUUUAAUCAGCUUUGUCAGCCAAUAAUGAUUGCAUUAUCUUUUAACUAUUGAAAUAUACUGUAAUGUCUCUUUUAGGCUUCUAAAUUUUAUUGUGAAGAAAAAGCGAAACUCGUCGCAAAUC